Molecule: ribosomal RNA, 889 nt
Filed under: uncultured bacterium
Lineage: Bacteria
Description: bacterial SSU rRNA
Rfam family: Bacterial small subunit ribosomal RNA
Source: RNAcentral
AGAGUUUGAUCCUGGCUCAGGACGAACGCUGGCGGCGUGCCUAACACAUGCAAGUCGAGCGGGGUUUUCUUUAGCACUGAGUACUCUUAAAAGCUGGUUGGCGCCAGCGUUUAUGCAGAAACAACCUUAAAAAUUUAAUUGAGGUUUCUGCAUUACGCGUUAAAUAGUGCCAACACUUAAGCGGACGGGAGUAUUGAGUGCUGAAGAAAACCUAACGGCGGACGGGUGAGUAACGCGUGAGCAACCUGCCUUGCACAGGGGGAUAACACUCGGAAACGGGUGCUAAUACCGCAUAAGACCCCACUAUCGCAUGAUAGAGAGGUCAAAGGGCAUAACCGGUGCAAGAUGGGCUCGCGUCCCAUUAGCUAGUUGGUGAGGUAACGGCUCACCAAGGCGACGAUGGGUAGCCGACCUGAGAGGGUGAUCGGCCACACUGGGACUGAGACACGGCCCAGACUCCUACGGGAGGCAGCAGUGGGGAAUAUUGCGCAAUGGGGGGAACCCUGACGCAGCGACGCCGCGUGAGUGAAGAAGGUCUUCGGAUCGUAAAGCUCUGUCAUCGGGGACGAAGGUAUGACGGUACCCGAAGAGGAAGCCCCGGCUAACUACGUGCCAGCAGCCGCGGUAAUACGUAGGGGGCGAGCGUUGUCCGGAAUUACUGGGCGUAAAGGGUGCGUAGGCGGCCUGAUAAGUCAGGUGUGAAAUACCAGGGCUCAACCCUGGGGGUGCACUUGAAACUGUCGGGCUUGAGUGCAGGAGAGGAAAGCGGAAUUCCUAGUGUAGCGGUGAAAUGCGUAGAUAUUAGGAGGAACACCAGUGGCGAAGGCGGCUUUCUGGACUGUAACUGACGCUGAGGCACGAAAGCGUGGGUAGCGAACAGGAUUAGAUA